AUGAGUGCACUUGCCUAUGUGUUGCGAGUGAAGAGGGACACAAACACGAUUUAUAAUCUAGUGGCAAUGAGAAAUUUUUAUGGCAGGGAUUUCAUUUGUUGGCGUCCCGAGUAUUAUGCCCAGCUUUCUCUAUUGUAUGUGUCAUCAUAUCAAACUCACACAAGAAUUGUUCAUCUUUUCACAGAUAGGAUGGUAGCAUUUCAAAUCUGGUUGUCCUUCCUAAGUUUUAAAACUCCAAAGCAUGUGACACAGCACAAAAUUAUCCAAUGCUCAUGGUUAUCAUGCAUUUACAUCAUGGAUCAACGUCAAGGAACUCUAACUCAGCAGCCAAGAUCGAGCCAGCCAGAAUCAGGAUGCUUUGUGUCGGUACCACUAAAUGAGCUAUUAACAGUGCUUUAG
Molecule: ribosomal RNA, 399 nt
Filed under: Triticum aestivum (bread wheat)
Lineage: Eukaryota; Viridiplantae; Streptophyta; Magnoliopsida; Poales; Poaceae
Description: partial small subunit ribosomal RNA
Source: RNAcentral